RNAcentral lists this ribosomal RNA (27 nucleotides) under Cortinarius brunneus. Its description in RNAcentral is "partial 18S ribosomal RNA". The record is from RNAcentral. Lineage: Eukaryota; Fungi; Basidiomycota; Agaricomycetes; Agaricales; Cortinariaceae.
AACCUGCGGAAGGAUCAUUAUUGAAAU